UUUAGUUCUUAUAUAUUCUUUGCAAUUUGGAAAUUUAACCGCCUUCAAUUUUAGUAUCCUUGACGCGACGCCAAGGAACACGUUGCUUGGGAUCGUCCGCAACUGAUUCUCUAGCCCGUGGAUGAGGUGGGCGGAUGUGGAUGACCGCACACGUGGGCUGAUUAUUGUUGAGUUUAAGGUAAGAAGUUAUUCAUUCAUAUUUAGUUUUAAUUUGUGCUUUUGAAUAUUUAUUUACUGUUUUGCUUUAUGUUGUCUACUAAUUAAGUAAUUGUUGAUAUUCAUAUGUUGUAUUGCAGAGAUAUAUAUUAUCG
RNAcentral lists this long non-coding RNA (311 nucleotides) under Panax ginseng (ginseng). RNAcentral's name for it is "long non-coding RNA (PGIN_LNC009694)". The record is from RNAcentral. Lineage: Eukaryota; Viridiplantae; Streptophyta; Magnoliopsida; Apiales; Araliaceae.